RNAcentral lists this ribosomal RNA (1740 nucleotides) under Triticum aestivum (bread wheat). Its description in RNAcentral is "bacterial LSU rRNA". It matches the Rfam family "Bacterial large subunit ribosomal RNA", at positions 1207 to 2925 of the family's 2925-position model. The record is from RNAcentral. Lineage: Eukaryota; Viridiplantae; Streptophyta; Magnoliopsida; Poales; Poaceae.
AGCGACGCUUAUGCGUUGUUGGGUAGGGGAGCGUUCUGUAAGCCUGUGAAGGUGUGCUGUGAGGCAUGCUGGAGGUAUCAGAAGUGCGAAUGCUGACAUAAGUAACGAUAAAGCGGGUGAAAAGCCCGCUCGCCGGAAGACCAAGGGUUCCUGUCCAACGUUAAUCGGGGCAGGGUGAGUCGACCCCUAAGGCGAGGCCGAAAGGCGUAGUCGAUGGGAAACAGGUUAAUAUUCCUGUACUUGGUGUUACUGCGAAGGGGGGACGGAGAAGGCUAUGUUGGCCGGGCGACGGUUGUCCCGGUUUAAGCGUGUAGGCUGGUUUUCCAGGCAAAUCCGGAAAAUCAAGGCUGAGGCGUGAUGACGAGGCACUACGGUGCUGAAGCAACAAAUGCCCUGCUUCCAGGAAAAGCCUCUAAGCAUCAGGUAACAUCAAAUCGUACCCCAAACCGACACAGGUGGUCAGGUAGAGAAUACCAAGGCGCUUGAGAGAACUCGGGUGAAGGAACUAGGCAAAAUGGUGCCGUAACUUCGGGAGAAGGCACGCUGAUAUGUAGGUGAAGUCCCUCGCGGAUGGAGCUGAAAUCAGUCGAAGAUACCAGCUGGCUGCAACUGUUUAUUAAAAACACAGCACUGUGCAAACACGAAAGUGGACGUAUACGGUGUGACGCCUGCCCGGUGCCGGAAGGUUAAUUGAUGGGGUCAGCGCAAGCGAAGCUCUUGAUCGAAGCCCCGGUAAACGGCGGCCGUAACUAUAACGGUCCUAAGGUAGCGAAAUUCCUUGUCGGGUAAGUUCCGACCUGCACGAAUGGCGUAAUGAUGGCCAGGCUGUCUCCACCCGAGACUCAGUGAAAUUGAACUCGCUGUGAAGAUGCAGUGUACCCGCGGCAAGACGGAAAGACCCCGUGAACCUUUACUAUAGCUUGACACUGAACAUUGAGCCUUGAUGUGUAGGAUAGGUGGGAGGCUUGGAAGUGUGGACGCCAGUCUGCAUGGAGCCGACCUUGAAAUACCACCCUUUAAUGUUUGAUGUUCUAACGUUGACCCGUAAUCCGGGUUGCGGACAGUGUCUGGUGGGUAGUUUGACUGGGGCGGUCUCCUCCUAAAGAGUAACGGAGGAGCACGAAGGUUGGCUAAUCCUGGUCGGACAUCAGGAGGUUAGUGCAAUGGCAUAAGCCAGCUUGACUGCGAGCGUGACGGCGCGAGCAGGUGCGAAAGCAGGUCAUAGUGAUCCGGUGGUUCUGAAUGGAAGGGCCAUCGCUCAACGGAUAAAAGGUACUCCGGGGAUAACAGGCUGAUACCGCCCAAGAGUUCAUAUCGACGGCGGUGUUUGGCACCUCGAUGUCGGCUCAUCACAUCCUGGGGCUGAAGUAGGUCCCAAGGGUAUGGCUGUUCGCCAUUUAAAGUGGUACGCGAGCUGGGUUUAGAACGUCGUGAGACAGUUCGGUCCCUAUCUGCCGUGGGCGCUGGAGAACUGAGGGGGGCUGCUCCUAGUACGAGAGGACCGGAGUGGACGCAUCACUGGUGUUCGGGUUGUCAUGCCAAUGGCACUGCCCGGUAGCUAAAUGCGGAAGAGAUAAGUGCUGAAAGCAUCUAAGCACGAAACUUGCCCCGAGAUGAGUUCUCCCUGACUCCUUGAGAGUCCUGAAGGAACGUUGAAGACGACGACGUUGAUAGGCCGGGUGUGUAAGCGCAGCGAUGCGUUGAGCUAACCGGUACUAAUGAACCGUGAGGCUUAACCUU